AUACGUAGGUGACAAGCGUUAUCCGGAUUUACUGGGCGUAAAGGGCGUGUAGGCGGUCUUGCAAGUCAGAAGUGAAAUUCCUGAGCUCAACUCGGGCGCUGCUUCUGAAACUGCAGGACUUGAGUGCUGGAGGGGAUAGCGGAAUUCCUAGUGGAGCGGUAAAAUGCGCAGAUAUUAGGAAGAACACCGGUGGCGAAGGCGGCUAUCUGGACAGUAACUGACGCUGAGGCGCGAAAGCGUGGGGAGCAAACAGGAUUAGAUACCCUGGAAGUCCACGCCGUAAACGAUGAAUACUAGGUGUAGGGGGUAUCGACUCCCUCUGUGCCGCAGUUAACACAAUAAGUAUUCCGCCUGGGGAGUACGGCCGCAAGGUUGAAACUCAAAUGAAUUGACGGGG
RNAcentral lists this ribosomal RNA (397 nucleotides) under uncultured bacterium. RNAcentral describes it as "partial 16S ribosomal RNA". It matches the Rfam family "Bacterial small subunit ribosomal RNA", at positions 523 to 918 of the family's 1533-position model. The record is from RNAcentral.